Molecule: long non-coding RNA, 2068 nt
Organism: Melospiza melodia melodia
Lineage: Eukaryota; Metazoa; Chordata; Aves; Passeriformes; Passerellidae
Exons: 8
Source: RefSeq, a predicted model, not a curated record
CGUGGCUCGGAGGCGCUUUGGAGGCGUUGAUGGCAUCGCUGGGUUCGGUUUGCAGCGGGUGUCCGCUAAGGGAUACGGUGUUCUUCCUGAGUGGGCACGGUUCUCGGUGCCGGGUACUGAGAAAAUACGUCUCCCUUAGAGUACCGCGGAAAGGUUCUCAGUGCGCUCUCUAUCAAGUGCUAUGAGUCUUGAUAAAUUGGAGAAGAGCCCAAGAGAAAUUUUUCAUCCCUUGAUAUAAAAGGAUUUAUUGGUUCUGGAAGAACAAGAGGGAAGUACAAGCCUAACUACUUCUAGCUCACAGGCCCGUCCAGUGAACCCAGGGACCGGUGAAUUUUAACUUUGGAGUCCCCUAUGCUAAGGAUGCUCAGCUUACAGGUGAUGAAAUGUUCAGUAAUGUAUUUGCUGCAGCUCUGCUUACCCAAGCUUUGGGUUCCUUCUGUCCCACUGGGAGUUGCCCAGUUUGGUUGCAUCUGGUGAAAUUCACCCUGAGACCUUACAGAACUAGCUCCAACUACGUGAGAGCCAUUUGCAGUUCUCUCCAGACACCUGGAGAAUGGGUGACGUUUCUGAGGAUCCGGCGAGCGUGCUUCUAUCAAAACUCAGUCUGUGAAAUUCCUGGGGAAAACCCUUCUGUGUCCUGAAGGGUUCAAACUCUGGUGAGGAUCCAGUUAUCAGGGGCUCACCUGGAUGGUUCCAGCUGCCAAAGGGAAAGACUCUCGUAUCCUUGUCGUCGGGCUCGGUGCUGUCCAAGAAGAUACAGAGACUAAAAAAAUCAUAAGAAGCAAAAUAUGACUGCAGGGAAAAGAAGCUGGAGAGAACAGAAGACUCAUCACGGCGGGACAGCGUGAGGACUGAAAGUGUAAGAAGAUGUGGAGGGAAACAGAGAAUCUGACAGGAGCAGCGAACGCACGAGUGCAGGAAUUUUGCUUUUUGCUUGGAUGUAAACUCAGGAGUUGAGAGGAAUUUGGGAGUGAGAAGGGACAUUUCAGAAGGAGAAGAAGAAAAAGAGGUUGUUGUUGUUGUUACAGUCCUGGCAAAAUCUUUUGUUCUAGCUAAUAAAAGAAGUUAGUUUAAAAAACAAAAAGGAAAAAAUGUAGUGUUUUUUUUUUCCUUCACUAUGAUAUUCAUUGGUGGUAUAUGGUGUGUUGUUUUAUUUCUUGGUAUUAUUAACUCUGUGUAAAUUGUUUUUUGAGUGAAGCUGACUUUCUGGAUGGGUUGGUUUGUAUUUGAGGCAGGAUUAAUUUCAGUAGGGUUCUUUCAUAGAUUUCUGAUGGGUAUUACUGGGAUUUUGGUUUUGUUUACUGUAUGUAUAAACCUAGAGCUUUGGUAGGGCCAGCUGGGCUGCUGGAGUUUUGGGUGUGAAUUUAUUAGAUGGCUUUUGUUAGAUGCAGUUUUUAAUUUUUGAAAUGUUUUUCAAUGUAGUGGUUUUAAGGUGGUUUUUAAGAAUUCAUUGUAUUGCUUUAUCUUGUUUGUAGUUGGUGUAUGAUAAGGGAUGUGGUGUGAGUUCUUGAACAUUAUGGUUUUGGUGUUCCUAAGUUCUGAUUUCUUUGUGGUUCAAUAUUUUUUUUUAUUUUUAUUUUUUGGGACAGGGGCAUUUAUAUGGUGGGUUUUUAUAGGCAAUAUGUUUUUUAAUUUAGGUAGUGAUAUUUUUUAAUAUUUUAAUAGUUUAGGUUUUUUAUUUUCAUGGUUUUAAUUAUUUUUUUUAAUUUUUUGAAAUAACUUUUAUAGAUUACAUGUUAUUAUUUGUGCAUUAACAUAAAGGUAGAGCUUUGGGGACUUUUUUUAGUAAUGUUUAGGGUCAGUUGUGCAGUUUUGAGUCUAGUGCGUUGGUUUGAUUUAAUUUUUAAUGGGUGUUUGUUUUUAUUAGCAGUUGUGUCAUUUUCAAGGUGUGUUUGAGUUUUUUGGGGUUUUUGAGAUACUGGUUUAGGAGGAAGUUUAUGAUGAGCAUGUGCGGAGGUUUUGGGCUACUUUAUAGUGGGAUCUAAAAUUUAUUUACAGUUAGGUUUAUUUGAGUUUUUAUUAGGGUUCAGUGACGUUGUGGGAUAUUUGUUCCGUUAGUAACAGAAAU